Molecule: long non-coding RNA, 262 nt
Filed under: Lathyrus oleraceus (garden pea)
Lineage: Eukaryota; Viridiplantae; Streptophyta; Magnoliopsida; Fabales; Fabaceae
Description: Pisum sativum (pea) long non-coding RNA (PSAT_LNC014331)
Source: RNAcentral
AGAAUAUAAUUUGUGGUUUGAUAUGUUUUAGAGUUGCAUUUGAGCAACUUAGAUAAGUUUUAGAGUUAUGUUGAUAAGUUUAAGAGAGAGAUUUGUUCCUUAGAGUUGUCAGAGUUAUUAUUUGAGUAACUCUUAUAUGUUUUAGAAUUGUGUUGGUAUGCGUUGGUGUCAAGGGUUAUUACCCUCUUGAUGGUUUGACACAAGUAAUAAUAUUUAUGAAUUUUUUAAAAUUUUAAGAAAUUAUGAGUUUUUGAGAAUUUUG